AGUAGAACGCUGAAGAGAGGAGCUUGCUCUUCUUGGAUGAGUUGCGAACGGGUGAGUAACGCGUAGGUAACCUGCCUGGUAGCGGGGGAUAACUAUUGGAAACGAUAGCUAAUACCGCAUAAAAUGGAUUAUCGCAUGAUAAUCAAUUGAAAGGUGCAAAUGCAUCACUACCAGAUGGACCUGCGUUGUAUUAGCUAGUUGGUGGGGUAACGGCUCACCAAGGCGACGAUACAUAGCCGACCUGAGAGGGUGAUCGGCCACACUGGGACUGAGACACGGCCCAGACUCCUACGGGAGGCAGCAGUAGGGAAUCUUCGGCAAUGGACGGAAGUCUGACCGAGCAACGCCGCGUGAGUGAAGAAGGUUUUCGGAUCGUAAAGCUCUGUUGUAAGAGAAGAACGAGUGUGAGAGUGGAAAGUUCACACUGUGACGGUAUCUUACCAGAAAGGGACGGCUAACUACGUGCCAGCAGCCGCGGUAAUACGUAGGUCCCGAGCGUUGUCCGGAUUUAUUGGGCGUAAAGCGAGCGCAGGCGG
RNAcentral lists this ribosomal RNA (536 nucleotides) under uncultured bacterium. RNAcentral describes it as "bacterial SSU rRNA". It matches the Rfam family "Bacterial small subunit ribosomal RNA", at positions 60 to 578 of the family's 1533-position model. The record is from RNAcentral.